This 2907-nucleotide ribosomal RNA is filed under the name Salmonella enterica. RNAcentral's name for it is "23S ribosomal RNA". It matches the Rfam family "Bacterial large subunit ribosomal RNA". RNAcentral also lists the same sequence under 3 other names. The record is from RNAcentral. Lineage: Bacteria; Pseudomonadati; Pseudomonadota; Gammaproteobacteria; Enterobacterales; Enterobacteriaceae.
GGUUAAGCGACUAAGCGUACACGGUGGAUGCCCUGGCAGUCAGAGGCGAUGAAGGGCGUGCUAAUCUGCGAUAAGCGCCGGUAAGGUGAUAUGAACCGUUAUAACCGGCGAUACCCGAAUGGGGAAACCCAGUGUGAUUCGUCACACUAUCAUUAACUGAAUCCAUAGGUUAAUGAGGCGAACCGGGGGAACUGAAACAUCUAAGUACCCCGAGGAAAAGAAAUCAACCGAGAUUCCCCCAGUAGCGGCGAGCGAACGGGGAGGAGCCCAGAGCCUGAAUCAGCAUGUGUGUUAGUGGAAGCGUCUGGAAAGGCGCGCGAUACAGGGUGACAGCCCCGUACACAAAAGCGCAUGUGCUGUGAGCUCGAUGAGUAGGGCGGGACACGUGGUAUCCUGUCUGAAUAUGGGGGGACCAUCCUCCAAGGCUAAAUACUCCUGACUGACCGAUAGUGAACCAGUACCGUGAGGGAAAGGCGAAAAGAACCCCGGCGAGGGGAGUGAAAAAGAACCUGAAACCGUGUACGUACAAGCAGUGGGAGCACAGGUUUACCUGUGUGACUGCGUACCUUUUGUAUAAUGGGUCAGCGACUUAUAUUCUGUAGCAAGGUUAACCGAAUAGGGGAGCCGGAGGGAAACCGAGUCUUAACCGGGCGUUAAGUUGCAGGGUAUAGACCCGAAACCCGGUGAUCUAGCCAUGGGCAGGUUGAAGGUUGGGUAACACUAACUGGAGGACCGAACCGACUAAUGUUGAAAAAUUAGCGGAUGACCUGUGGCUGGGGGUGAAAGGCCAAUCAAACCGGGAGAUAGCUGGUUCUCCCCGAAAGCUAUUUAGGUAGCGCCUCGUGAAUUCAUCUCCGGGGGUAGAGCACUGUUUCGGCUAGGGGGCCAUCCCGGCUUACCAACCCGAUGCAAACUGCGAAUACCGGAGAAUGUUAUCACGGGAGACACACGGCGGGUGCUAACGUCCGUCGUGAAGAGGGAAACAACCCAGACCGCCAGCUAAGGUCCCAAAGUCAUGGUUAAGUGGGAAACGAUGUGGGAAGGCCCAGACAGCCAGGAUGUUGGCUUAGAAGCAGCCAUCAUUUAAAGAAAGCGUAAUAGCUCACUGGUCGAGUCGGCCUGCGCGGAAGAUGUAACGGGGCUAAACCAUGCACCGAAGCUGCGGCAGCGACACUGUGUGUUGUUGGGUAGGGGAGCGUUCUGUAAGCCUGUGAAGGUGUGUCGUGAGGCAUGCUGGAGGUAUCAGAAGUGCGAAUGCUGACAUAAGUAACGAUAAAGCGGGUGAAAAGCCCGCUCGCCGGAAGACCAAGGGUUCCUGUCCAACGUUAAUCGGGGCAGGGUGAGUCGACCCCUAAGGCGAGGCCGAAAGGCGUAGUCGAUGGGAAACGGGUUAAUAUUCCCGUACUUGGUGUUACUGCGAAGGGGGGACGGAGAAGGCUAUGUUGGCCGGGCGACGGUUGUCCCGGUUUAAGCGUGUAGGUGUGUGUUCCAGGUAAAUCCGGUUCACUUUAACACUGAGGCGUGACGACGAGGCACUACGGUGCUGAAGCAACAAAUGCCCUGCUUCCAGGAAAAGCCUCUAAGCAUCAGGUAACAUCAAAUCGUACCCCAAACCGACACAGGUGGUCAGGUAGAGAAUACCAAGGCGCUUGAGAGAACUCGGGUGAAGGAACUAGGCAAAAUGGUGCCGUAACUUCGGGAGAAGGCACGCUGACACGUAGGUGAAGUGAUUUACUCAUGGAGCUGAAGUCAGUCGAAGAUACCAGCUGGCUGCAACUGUUUAUUAAAAACACAGCACUGUGCAAACACGAAAGUGGACGUAUACGGUGUGACGCCUGCCCGGUGCCGGAAGGUUAAUUGAUGGGGUCAGCGCAAGCGAAGCUCCUGAUCGAAGCCCCGGUAAACGGCGGCCGUAACUAUAACGGUCCUAAGGUAGCGAAAUUCCUUGUCGGGUAAGUUCCGACCUGCACGAAUGGCGUAAUGAUGGCCAGGCUGUCUCCACCCGAGACUCAGUGAAAUUGAACUCGCUGUGAAGAUGCAGUGUACCCGCGGCAAGACGGAAAGACCCCGUGAACCUUUACUAUAGCUUGACACUGAACAUUGAGCCUUGAUGUGUAGGAUAGGUGGGAGGCUUUGAAGUGUGGACGCCAGUCUGCAUGGAGCCGACCUUGAAAUACCACCCUUUAAUGUUUGAUGUUCUAACGUGGACCCGUUACCCGGGUUGCGGACAGUGUCUGGUGGGUAGUUUGACUGGGGCGGUCUCCUCCUAAAGAGUAACGGAGGAGCACGAAGGUUGGCUAAUCCUGGUCGGACAUCAGGAGGUUAGUGCAAUGGCAUAAGCCAGCUUGACUGCGAGCGUGACGGCGCGAGCAGGUGCGAAAGCAGGUCAUAGUGAUCCGGUGGUUCUGAAUGGAAGGGCCAUCGCUCAACGGAUAAAAGGUACUCCGGGGAUAACAGGCUGAUACCGCCCAAGAGUUCAUAUCGACGGCGGUGUUUGGCACCUCGAUGUCGGCUCAUCACAUCCUGGGGCUGAAGUAGGUCCCAAGGGUAUGGCUGUUCGCCAUUUAAAGUGGUACGCGAGCUGGGUUUAGAACGUCGUGAGACAGUUCGGUCCCUAUCUGCCGUGGGCGCUGGAGAACUGAGGGGGGCUGCUCCUAGUACGAGAGGACCGGAGUGGACGCAUCACUGGUGUUCGGGUUGUCAUGCCAAUGGCACUGCCCGGUAGCUAAAUGCGGAAGAGAUAAGUGCUGAAAGCAUCUAAGCACGAAACUUGCCCCGAGAUGAGUUCUCCCUGAGACUUAGAGUCUCCUGAAGGAACGUUGAAGACGACGACGUUGAUAGGCCGGGUGUGUAAGCGCAGCGAUGCGUUGAGCUAACCGGUACUAAUGAACCGUGAGGCUUAACCUU